AAUUUUGCGCAAUGGGCGAAAGCCUGACGCAGCGACGCCGCGUGUACGAUGAAGGCCUUUGGGUCGUAAAGUACUGUCAACGGGGACGAACGCGGCACAUUGAAUAGAUGUGUCGUCUGACGGUACCCGUGGAGGAAGCACCGGCUAACUCUGUGCCAGCAGCCGCGGUAAUACAGAGGGUGCAAACGUUGCUCGGAAUGACUGGGCGUAAAGCGCGCGCAGGUGGCCCGUUAAGUCGGCUGUGAAAUCCCCUGGCUCAACCAGGGAAGUGCAGUCGAUACUGGCAGGCUCGAGUCCCGGAGAGGGUGGUAGAAUUCCCAGUGUAGAGGUGAAAUUCGUAGAUAUUGGGAGGAAUACCGGUGGCGAAGGCGACCGCCUGGACGGGUACUGACACUGAGGCGCGAAAGCGUGGGGAGCAAACAGGAUUAGAUACCCUGGUAGUCCACGCCGUA
Molecule: ribosomal RNA, 452 nt
Filed under: uncultured marine bacterium
Lineage: Bacteria
Description: bacterial SSU rRNA
Rfam family: Bacterial small subunit ribosomal RNA
Source: RNAcentral